AUUGAACGCUGGCGGCAGGCCUAACACAUGCAAGUCGAGCGGAGCGGCGGUCGGGGGAGUAAUGGCUAGGAAUCUGCCUGGUAGUGGGGGAUAACGUCCGGAAAUGGGCGAUAAUACCGCAUACUAUCAGUUGAGCCUAGGUCGGUUUAGCUAGUGGGUGGGGUAAAGGCCUACCAAGGCGACGCUCCGUAACUGGUCUGAGAGGCGGAUGAGUCACACUGGAACGUGGAAACGGUCCAGACUCCUACGGGGGGAGGCAGUGGGGAAUAUGGGACAAGGGGCGAAGUCCGGAUCCAGCCAGGCCGCGUGGGUGAAGAAGGUCUUCGGAUGUUAAAGCACGUUAAGUUGGAAGGCGUUACCAACAGAAUAAGCACCGGCUAACUUCGUGCCAGCAGCCGCGGUAAUAC
Molecule: ribosomal RNA, 407 nt
Filed under: uncultured bacterium
Lineage: Bacteria
Description: partial 16S ribosomal RNA
Rfam family: Bacterial small subunit ribosomal RNA
Source: RNAcentral